AAACGAAUAUCAUUUGUACCGUAGACAGUAGGUGCCUUUUCGGGCUUAAUUUCCUACCGAGGUAUGUGGACGAUAGACAGCGCGCCAUCGAUCGCGGCGCGUUGAACGAUACCUCCAUGUCUACGUGGCAUGGGGGUUUUUCAUUGAACUA
Geobacillus thermodenitrificans NG80-2 is the source of this 151-nucleotide non-coding RNA. The record is from Rfam. NCBI's taxonomy places the organism in Bacteria, Bacillati, Bacillota, Bacilli, Caryophanales, Anoxybacillaceae.